RNAcentral lists this ribosomal RNA (90 nucleotides) under Streptomyces albidoflavus. RNAcentral also lists the same sequence under 58 other names. Lineage: Bacteria; Bacillati; Actinomycetota; Actinomycetes; Kitasatosporales; Streptomycetaceae. The record is from RNAcentral.
CCCGGUUACAUUCCGAACCCGGAAGCUAAGCCUUACAGCGCCGAUGGUACUGCAGGGGGGACCCUGUGGGAGAGUAGGACGCCGCCGAAC